RNAcentral lists this transfer RNA (63 nucleotides) under Glyptotermes sp. C TB-2014. RNAcentral's name for it is "tRNA-Glu". It matches the Rfam family "tRNA". Rfam says of the family: Transfer RNA (tRNA) molecules are approximately 80 nucleotides in length. Their secondary structure includes four short double-helical elements and three loops (D, anti-codon, and T loops). The record is from RNAcentral. Lineage: Eukaryota; Metazoa; Arthropoda; Insecta; Blattodea; Kalotermitidae.
GUUUACAUAGUUUAACAAAAACAUUACACUUUCACUGUAAAAAUAAAGAACCUUUUGUAAAUU